Molecule: ribosomal RNA, 222 nt
Filed under: uncultured bacterium
Lineage: Bacteria
Description: partial 16S ribosomal RNA
Rfam family: Bacterial small subunit ribosomal RNA
Source: RNAcentral
UACGUAGGCAGCAAGCGUUGUUCGGAAUUACUGGGCGUAAAGAGUGUGUAGGCGGUGCUCUAAGUUCGGUGUGAAAUCUCCCGGCUCAACUGGGAGGGUGCGCCGAAUACUGAGAGGCUAGAGUGUGGGAGAGGAAAGUGGAAUUCCUGGUGUAGCGGUGAAAUGCGUAGAUAUCAGGAGGAACACCGGUGGUGUAAACGGCUUUCUGGACCAUAACUGACG